GAGGGGACACUCUCCAAAAGACAUGUGAAAACCCUUAAGAAAGCUUACAGCCAAGUCGAGCCAAUCUGUCCAGCACUUCUUCAGAGCUUGGACGACAGAGAUCUGUGUUGCUGCACUGGGACGCUGACAGAAAAGACAAUUUUCAGGCUUACAAAUGAAGCGGAUCAACUCAUGUCGAAAACUGGACACGACAGCUGAUGACACACACAGAAAAUAAAGUGCAGACAGGACAACUCAGUUUCCCAUGCCAUCGCAAUGCAACCCUGCAGAGCAAACUAAAAAUGCUUACCUAAUCACCCAUCUUUUAUGUUGUUAUGCAUCAUGACUGGUGACAACACGGUUCCAGUCACCAACGGAGCAAAAUCUAAUUAUUUAGCAGGUGUCGUCCCAUUAUUUCCUGAAUCCUGACGUGAUCAAAUAAUAGUAGCUGCAUCCAAACAGGACAGAUACCUCCAGAGGCUGCCAAUAUAUUUGAUUUCACACUCACUGCCCACCUGCAAACUUGACGUGGAACUUGUUCUCUGGCUUGAGAAUCUGGACGUACAGGGGGCAAUUUGGAGCAAAGUCUUUCACUGCCCAGGCUCGGAGGAUGGUCUGAUGAUCCUGAGAAAAUUGGAGAUGGCGGUGAGAGACAUGGAUGGAGUGAAAACACGGGAGAGACAGAGGAAAAGUGCGACAGAGAGAGAAAGAGAGUGACUUACUUGGCCCUCAUCAGGUCUUGGUCUUUGAGGGCAGAACCCUGCAGAUAGAUGACUCUUUGGGCCCACAGAGGGACAUGAAGGACCCUCCUAACCUGGACAUCCAUCUCUGCUGGACAAAGGAUCACCACAUAAUGCUGCUCAGGCUCCCGAGAAGGAUUACAGACAACAAAUGCACACAAACACAAGACCCCCCAACACCCUCUUGUCCUACUUAAAACCAUUUUGGAAGACCUGAAGUCGGGGGUGAGCGAAGAACUCAUUAAGGAAGUCCAUGAGGAGGUCGAUCUUGAGACAGCUGACGCACAGCACCACGUGUUUCUCCGUCUGUGCCCUGUAGCGGCUGUAGUUUCCCCCGGACUUCUGCCGCUCCAUCCACAGAAAGGCCAGCUGCUCGAACUACAUUCAGUACGACAUCCAUCACAUUCAACAGAUGGAAACUGGAUUAGGUUAGCUGCAAUACAGGGAGGAACCAGGUGGUGCAUAAAAAGAAAACAAUGCCUUGUACUGUA
This is a long non-coding RNA of Micropterus dolomieu (smallmouth bass), 1210 nucleotides long. RefSeq lists it as uncharacterized. The record is from RefSeq and is a predicted model, not a curated record. The transcript is spliced from 3 exons. Lineage: Eukaryota; Metazoa; Chordata; Actinopteri; Centrarchiformes; Centrarchidae.